Molecule: unclassified non-coding RNA, 220 nt
Filed under: Hevea brasiliensis (rubber tree)
Lineage: Eukaryota; Viridiplantae; Streptophyta; Magnoliopsida; Malpighiales; Euphorbiaceae
Source: RNAcentral
GUGAAUAUUUUUCAGAUGGUAACUUGGCCAAAGCAACUGACAUGGGUAGAGAUGUUGGAUUGGCUAAGAAACUAUGGGAUUUCAGCAUGAAAUUGGUCGACUAAACGUUGCUUCCAAAAUAUGCAACUCCUUACCAGAUUUACAAGAAAGUAUCAUCAUUUUCUUUUCUUAGACAUAAUGUUUAUGGAUGAAAUCCUGCUAAAAAAAAAUUGUUUAUGGA